RNAcentral lists this ribosomal RNA (526 nucleotides) under Lucilia porphyrina (porphyrina blow fly). Its description in RNAcentral is "partial 16S ribosomal RNA". It matches the Rfam family "Bacterial large subunit ribosomal RNA", at positions 1838 to 2620 of the family's 2925-position model. The record is from RNAcentral. Lineage: Eukaryota; Metazoa; Arthropoda; Insecta; Diptera; Calliphoridae.
CUGAUUUUUUACGUCUGACCUGCCCACUGAAUUUUUUUUUAAAUGGCCGCAGUAUACUAACUGUGCAAAGGUAGCAUAAUCAUUAGUCUUUUAAUUGAAGGCUGGUAUGAAUGGUUGGACGAGAUAUUAACUGUUUCAUAAAAAUUUAUAAUAGAAUUUUAUUUUUUAGUCAAAAAGCUAAAAUUUAUUUAAAAGACGAGAAGACCCUAUAAAUCUUUAUAUUUAUAUUAUUAUAAUUUUGUAGAUUUUUUUUGUUAUGAUAAUAGAUUAUAUUUUAUUGGGGUGAUAUUAAAAUUUAAUAAACUUUUAAUUGUUUAAAUCAUUAAUUUAUGAAUAAUUGAUCCGUUAUUAGCGAUUAAAAAAACAAGUUACUUUAGGGAUAACAGCGUAAUUUUUUUGGAGAGUUCAUAUCGAUAAAAAAGAUUGCGACCUCGAUGUUGGAUUAAGAUAUAAUUUUAGGUGUAGCCGCUUAAAUUUUAAGUCUGUUCGACUUUUAAAUUCUUACCUGAUCUGAGUUCAGACCGGA